UAAAGACAGAUUUAAAGAUUUAACUGAUAGUAUACUGACAGGAAAAGAAACAGCAAUCUUUCAUUAAAAGCAAAUAUUUCAGAAACUUUAAAAGGGCAAUGUAUGCAUGUUGUUAUUUAUUUUCCAUUUUAUGGCCACUCUUAUAUGGCUAGGCAAAACAAUAAUGAUAUCAAUAUCAAUAGAAAUUAAAGCUGCAAGCAGCAUUGGCGGCCAUCACAGCUCAGUGCCACGGUUAUCUAUGCUUAGUGGAUAUGGUUUUAAUAUUGCAUCACAUAGAGGGAGAAGCAGGAUGAAUGACCCAACAAUCUUCAGUAUUUUCUCAGAGUGGGCAGUGUUUAGUGAUGUCAUUAAUGUGCUCCCUGAUGAUGCCCAAAAAAAUCAGCUACCAGCCAGUGUUGACAGAAGGAUUUAGUUUUAUGUUGUUCUGUCAUUAAAUACAUGUCCAAAUCUAUAUGAAUCAUAGAGUAAAAGGAAGAGAACUGGCAAGAAAACAGGUGACUUCCUGUUCAAAAGAGGCAGGGCCAAGGUGAUGCCAUCAGUGUUGGUCAGUAAUGAGAGAUAAAAGUGUGAUAAACCUGUGACCUUGUGUGUGGAAGUUAUUGGUGUUUACAUGGUGAAUUGGCAGAUUUUGGGACUUGGCCACGCCCACAUGCUUUCAUAUACGAAAAAGAUUUUGAUAACUAUUGACCUACAAUGCCUCAAGACUGAAAGACACACUGGAGAGUGCAUGUGUGAGUAAUUCUGAAAUCUGCAUCUUAUAACUUGUAGGAGGAGUUCGCUCAGAUACAAUGUAUACAAAAAAUACAGAAUAACUGCUUUGACCCAAAAUGGCCGACUUCCUGUUGGGUUUGGGCCACGUCUCCAAGAAACUUUUUUUUAGGUCCUGUCAAGAUACAUGUGUACCGAAUUUUAUGAUUGUUGGUCAAAGAAUGGCUUGGGCCUGAUUUUUUUUAAAAGAUUUUUAGAGGGGGCUAUGGAUAAAUUGGGCCAUGCCCACAUAUUGGAUUGCAGUCUUGUUGGGGUGUGGACUAGGAUCAAUCAUAUGCCCCUUUUCCACUGGUUCUACUUCGGUAGUCCCGCUCUACUCUGCCCGGCCUCACUCCACUCUACGAAAUUCCACUGACCCGGCUAGAUCUGUAGCAGGGUGACACCUGCUGGCGGUAGGGGGUAUAGCGCCCCGCCUCCAGGUGGACAACACCAUGUGCUGUGUUUCCUUACUAUGCAGCAUAAGGCGUGUUGUUGUUUUUCCGAGUCAAAAGAAGAAGAGAGAGUUGAGCUAUUGCUUUGUAGCCUGAUUGUGAUUUUUCUUAGAUUUCAAGAAAAGGCGCAACAGGAGGAAUGCUGUAAAUGUGGUGAGAAGGACAGCUGAUUUCUACCUUGUAGCUGGAGGAAAGCAGGUGACCCAGACGUUGCAGGAUGUUGGUAAACUAUUGCCGCAGACCAUCGUGGUUCUUUCUGCAGCCUCUGAGUUGUAGGAUGUUUCAUCAGUGUCUGUCUUCCUGACUGUCAGUCGGUGUUUACCUUCAGGAUGUCCAGAGACCUUCACCUUUCUGGAGCAGGAAUCAGAUGAGCUCAAUGUGCUGAUAAAACAUUUGCUAAUUUACAAAAUAUGGCUAGUGUUCUCACAGAGUUUAAAUGCAUUAAUCUGUCUGUUUUUAAUUUCUCAAAUGUUUAAUUAUGAUUCAUCUGAUACUCAAUUUAUAUUGAACAUCAGAUAAUUUGUAACCUUGUAAAACCUUGUAAACCUUGUAAAACUUGUAAGCUUAAUUAAGGUUACAAGUUUUGGAAACAUUUUCUGACUUUCCUACAUUGAAUAUGUUCCAAGAAGACAGCUAAACAGUGAGUGGAUAGAAUUAUGUUGUACGAAGUAGAAAUUAAGAAACAUGACUUGUAUUUUUGGUUCUUGUUAAUAGCAACCCCGACAGUAAUGUCAAAAUGUUUGGUUUGCUGAAUAAUGUGCUCACUUUUAGAUGCCUUUACUGGAAAUCUACCAUAUCAAGUGUCAAUGAAAUACACAUAUAAUGUUGUUAUAUAACGUGUAAUGUACAAACAAUACAAUGUUAUUUCACUCUGUCUAAAGGUACUCACAUUUUUGGGAGGAUUGUAUUAGGACCUUGAUGCCAUACAAACUACAGUAUGUACAUUAAUGUGUGGAGUGGGCAU
Long non-coding RNA from Xiphophorus hellerii (green swordtail), 2163 nucleotides. RefSeq lists it as uncharacterized. The transcript is spliced from 2 exons. NCBI's taxonomy places the organism in Eukaryota, Metazoa, Chordata, Actinopteri, Cyprinodontiformes, Poeciliidae. The record is from RefSeq and is a predicted model, not a curated record.